UGAAGCGGAGGUAGUAUCGAUUUCUAUGUUUGUGUAGCAAGUUGCCUAGGCUUGUUCGGUUUGGGAGACCAACACUAUUGCCAUCCUCGAAACCUUUGCCAUUGAAUUCAUAGAAGAAUGGAUUUAAGAGGAAAGACAAAAAUAGGUAAAAGACAAAAUUAUUCUGAUACAGAUCACUGAAGGAAAAAGAUGUUUAAGUUCUAUCCCUGAAUGAGAGGGACCUCAGAAGAGAACAGGAACUAAAAUUGACCUAGAAGUUUCACAGAAAGAAGACUGGAAAUUCUGCCAGCUGCUGUUCAACAUGUCUAACAAUACCUGAAAAUUUUCCUGCAGCCCUAUGUUUGCUCUCAUACUGCUAGUGACAAAUAGCCUAG
Cuculus canorus (common cuckoo) is the source of this 374-nucleotide long non-coding RNA. RefSeq lists it as uncharacterized. NCBI's taxonomy places the organism in Eukaryota, Metazoa, Chordata, Aves, Cuculiformes, Cuculidae. The record is from RefSeq and is a predicted model, not a curated record. The transcript is spliced from 3 exons.